Molecule: ribosomal RNA, 253 nt
Filed under: uncultured bacterium
Lineage: Bacteria
Description: partial 16S ribosomal RNA
Rfam family: Bacterial small subunit ribosomal RNA
Source: RNAcentral
UACGGAGGGUGCAAGCGUUAUCCGGAUUCACUGGGCUUAAAGCGUGUGUAGGCGGAUCGUUAAGUACCUUGUGAAAUCCCACGGCUCAACCGUGGAACUGCUGGGUAUACUGGCGGUCUUGAGCCACCUAGGGGCAACUGGAACAAGCGGUGGAGCGGUGAAAUGCGUAGAUAUCGCUUGGAACGCCAACGGUGAAAACAGGUUGCUGGGGGUGUGCUGACGCUGAGACACGAAAGCCAGGGGAGCGAACGGG